AAUUCCCGAUACUCCAUUCUGCCCAGCGUCAGGAGCCCCGAGUUGAUAUCCGACCCGAGAUCCGGCUGCGCCAGCACCCGAUCCGCGAUCAUCUCCACCGUCACGUUCAUCCUCGCCGUGCGCCGCGCCCGCGCCCUCCCCGCGGGGCCGCGCGCCUUGCCGACCGCCGCGCCGCGGUAGAACAGCGCCGACGUCGUCUCCGGGUACCGGAAUGACGCGAAGUUGGGGUUCUUCACCGACACGUCGGCGGUCAGCGACAUGUUGCUGCCUGGCCGUGGCGUGGCGAUGCCGUUGAUCAGAUCCGCGCCGCAGCAGCUGCAGCAGCGGAGGAGUUGCCGCUGCUGUUUGACGGUGAAUUUGAUAUCUCGGAGAGUUCGAUGAAGAGCUGCCUGAGCGGUUUGGCUGACCUCUGCCGGUGGUGGUCGGCUGAAAGCCGUCUUCCGGCCGUGGCGUAUGGCAGUGGACGGUGGCAAUCCCGGUCCCGAUGGCUCCCGAUGAUGAAGGGUCCGGGUUGGUUGUCGGCUGUAGCCGGGCGGCCUCCCAUCUCACUCUUGAGAAUGCCGACUCGGCUGAGGGAACUUCCUUGAGAAUGUCCCGACGAAGUCUGUCAUAUCUCCUAUCAAAUCCGGAGAGGAACUGAAAUAAUCGGUGAUUUCCGAUCAGUUUUCUGUGCUUAUUGAUCCCUUCUUCACACCAGUCGAGUGGAUUUGGGUAAGUUCGAUCCAUUCUGUGGAUUUGUUGAAUUGAUUCAUUUGAAUCUGUUUGGUUUAUGGCUUCAAUCUCUCCUGGCAUUUUUUUUCAGGAAAUGAAGAACAGAGGUUUUGGUUUGGUGUAUUGGUUAGGAAUGGUUUGGUGUAUUGGCUAGGAAUGGUUUUGGUUUUGGAUUAUGAACGAUGAUGAUUCGUUUCUGAGUUCCUAUGGUUGAACCUGCUGAACCUGCUCUGAUACCAUGUUAAAACAUGCUAUUAUCAUAAUGCAUAGAGAAAGAUAAAGAGAAGCAAAUGAUUGUUAUUGUAUUUCUCUUGAUGUUGUAUUGCUCCUUAUUUCUGAAGAAUUCUAUCAUCUUUUAUAAUGUAUUACAUGAUAUUAAAGUCUUACCAGGAUCCCUAUGAUUAAGGGAUCCGUGGUAAAUCUUUGACAGAUAAAUAAAGGCACGCUGCUUCUCUUUCUGACUUUUGCUGCUUGCUAAUCUUGACUUCUGUAGAUUUACUUUCAACAGCUGGUGCACAUUUCAGUCCUCAUCAAUAUAGAUUAAGAAAAUGUAUUUAAUGUUAUUUAUUGUAUGUAAUUAUUAUUUUAUCCUUAUUUAUUAUUUCACAUUAUUUCACAAACGUUAAAUAAAGUUAUUUUGAUAAUUUUAUUUAAAGCAAUUUGAAUUAAGAAAGUGGACCACAUCUUAUCUAUGCUAAUAGAAAAAGAGUCUAAGGCAUCUUAAGACACAAUUUAUGAAUUGCCUAUUUUAUCCGUAUUAUAUAUUUUAUUUUAAAAUUAUUUUACAUAUUAUAUAUUUAUAAGAAUAUAUUAAUUCAUUAAAUAUUACACUAAAUCUAUGUGAUAUAUUUCUAUAGCUAUUGAUAAGGAUCAUAAACACAUAGGUAAUGAUCAAAGUACAAAUACAAAAAAACAUGUCAUUAGUAACAUUUUUUUACAUACAAUUGCAGGUUUAGAAUAACCUUAUUAAAUGUCAUACAAGGAGAUUGUAUGCAAAUAUUACAAUGUUCAAUGUGGUUGCAGCCAUUGACGUAGCUAGAGGGGGGGCAGUGGGGGCACUGGGCCCCCCUGGAAAUUUCAAAAAACACUAGUGGUAUUUUAGUGAUUUUAUAUUUAAUAUUAAAUAAAUACAUAAAUAUUCUUAUUUUAGUAAUAAUCCCAAAUUUUCUCUACGUAUAGGAGAUAAGCUAUUGAACGAUUGUAAAACUAGUGUUUUAAGGGUGCGUUUACUUUGGUUGAAAAAAAAAUUAUUGGAAAAUGAUAGAUAAGAAAAUGUGAGAAAAUAUUUUUCUCCUUUUUUUAAAAAUCAUAUGUUUUGCUAGAGAUGAAAAGAUGAUAAAAUGUUGAAAAAUAUUUUCACACCCAUACCUUAGGAUAAUAUUAUCCAAUAUUGGAGAGAAAAUGAGUGAAACGGGGAUGCCCGAUAAAAUAUUUCACACUGGCCAGAGAAAAUUUUCCAUCAUAGUAAACAUAUGAAAAUGGUGGAAAAUGGAUGAAAAUAUAUUUUUUCUCUGUUUUUCCAUCAAAAUAAGUGUAUUUGAUAAUAAAAUGAAUAAGUGAUUAGAUAUUUUUUGCUUAUAGUUAUUCCAUAUUAGAAAAUUGAAAUACAUUUAGUUGGGAUGGUCCAAAAAUGAAUAUUGAUUUAGUUGGGACGAAGAGAGUAUUUGGCCCCCCCUAAUUAAAAAGUCUGGCUACGUCACUGGUUGCAGCAGUAUAUGUAUAUAGGAUGCUCGGUGGAUGAGUUUAUUUCAUCAUUCAAUCACGUAAGUUUUAUUUUUUCAUCAAUAGUCGUUUGUCAAAAUAAAAGUUUCAAUUUUUAAUGAAAUUUACUAAUCAUGAUAUAUAAUUUAAACAUUUUCCCAAGAUGAAAAUGAUUCUGCAAAAAUAAGAGAAAAAAGUUUUCUCCACCCAUUAAAGUCAAAUUAGAGAAGAUUUGAUGUGAAUAUAAACAUUUAAUAGUUUAGGAUAAUCAGUGUUGACGUAGUUGCUUUUUCAUUUUUAAUCUUUUAUUUACCAGCAAAGUUUGACUUUUUUUAAAAAUUCAAUAGGUAUUGCACACUUUAUUUACAAUAAUUGGCUCAAUGAUAUUUUGAAUAUUGCAUUAAAUGUGAUGGUUACAAAUUUUCUAUGAAGGUAACUUUUACCAUAAAAUUAUAAAAUCAAGCAUAACACGUGCAACGCACGUCUUCUCUGCUAGUUACAGUAGCAACGUAUUUAAUUUAUUUUAUUACUAAUUAAUUUAUGGUAGGAGAAGGUGAAAUUUUAAUAAUAUAAUCUAUUAAAAUUUUAAUAAAUAAUAUAAUUAAUUUUUUUUAUUACGUAUCCAUCUAAGAUGUGGUAUAUGUACAUAAUCUCAAAGAUUUGAAUAAUACAUAAUGGGUUAUUACAUAAUAAACAACCUUUUAUUUUGAAGCAAACAUAAUAAUAGUGUUGGGUAAUUAGACGCAACUAAUUUCGCCUUGGAUCUAGUGUGACGCAAUAUUUUAGAUAUCGAUCGACCGAUAUGAAACGAUAAAAAAAAUGACACCGAUAUUUUUAACGUGGCUCGGCCAAACUGCCUAUGUCCACGGACCCACACCAAUAUAUAGAGAAUCUCAAAAGGAGAAGUACAACAAAAAUACCACACUGUAUUUUGUAUCUACUUACGCAGAGGCUAUCUCUUUAUAACUCGUGUAUAACUUCAACACUGAAGUUUUCUCUCACAAGGAUUUUCUCUCUCUCUAGCACAAAGAAAUGCUUCUGCUUUGGUGAUGUGUUGGUGUGCUGCAAUGCUGCUGCGAGGAUCACUUUAUAGCCAAAACUUAGCCGCACUAAUUGAAAACAAUGGCAACAACUUUUGACAUGGAGGUUAUAGCCAUAAAUGCUUGGCAAGAGCUAUAGUAACCUAUGCAGUAGCUAUUUUGACGAGUUGAAAAUUUUUGUAGGCCACUAACUUAGGACGUUUUGUAAAAUUAGGCCACAUUUUUUUCGGACUUGUAAAUUUGGAUCAUUUAUUAUUAAUUUCGGCGUAAAUGAGCCACAUUUGGGCCCGGUCGGGCUAUAAUGUGGCUCACUUACGCCGAAAUUAAUAAUAAAUGACCCAAAUUUGAAAGCCCAAAAAAAUAUGGCCUAAUUUUGCAAAGUGCCAUAACUUAGUGACCUACAAAAAAUUUUGAACUCAAUUAAAUUGGUGGCUAACAUUUGAUUUUCACUAUCCAUUUCCCAUAUUUCGCACCAUUAACACAUUUGAAAAUGUAUAUAAUGAGAAUAAGUUUAAAUAAAAGAAAUUUGAGACAAAUUCAAAUAGUGAGAUUUUAGAUUGUCAUGUAGAAGAUAAAAUUAAUAUUUUCCUAUUAUAUAGUACAAGAUGUCUUUUUAUAAACAUAUAAAUAAUUAUUGUUAUCUUGAGGAAUAUAUAUAUUUUUUAACACGGUGCAUUAUGAUAUCUUGAGGAACAUAUAUAUUCUUACAAUUUAAUUUUGACCCUCCAAGUGUCGUCGAGCAAAGGUAAUUAUUUGUAUAUUUUAAUGAAUUUUUAAAAUAUUUUUUAAUUCAUUUUUUAUUUGUGUUUUUUUAAGUAUGAUUAUUUUAUGAUUUAUUUUUACAUGCGUAUAAAUAUACCAAAUAAAAGAAUGAAAUAAAAUUUCACAUCAGCGUUCGAGCUCCAACUGUGAAGUCACACACGUUCAAUCGGGCCCAAAUGUGGCUCAUUUACUCUGAAAUUAAUAACAAAUGGCUCAAAUUUACAAAUCCGAAAAAAUAUGGCCUAAUUUUGCAAAGCACACUAAAUUAGUGGCCUACAAAAAUUUUGAAAUCCUAUUUUGACUAACAAAUAGGAUGUCAUAUAUACUUAUAUUAUAUGCACCCUAAUUAUCCAACCAGAUCCCCUACUUAUUAAAUACUAAAAUUAAAGACAGAUAUAUCGAUCAAUUAUUAAUUGAACAUGAUCUUUAACAUUAUUAUUCCACUACCGAGAAUUAAGUAGACGCAACUGCCCAGUUAGCUACAGAAGAUAAUUACUAGUUUAAUUAUAUGAGUCAAUUUCCUCAAAAAAAAAUUAUAUGAGUCAAUUUGAUUAUUCAACGCAAAUUAAUUAAACAGAGACACAACCAAAUAAACCUUUAAAAAAACAUUGACUUGGCUCAACAAGAAUAAGAAUCAAUUUUGAUUUUCAACGUGUCUCAUUAUCAAAGUAUAAAAAUUAGAUUAAAAACAUAAUACUGCGUGAAAAUUGACGUAAUGCACGAUAAAAAAUAUUAGGAAUUGAAAUUCUCUAGAUGAAACCUAUCAGGAGAAGACUUCAUUAAAUAAAAUCCACAAUACUUAAUUGCUAAUUAAGCAAACCUGUGUGUAUAUAGUGUGUGUUGUGUGUGAAAAAAAGGCAUCAAAAGAGAUGGGAGAAACGGCUAUGAAAUCAGAGGAGAAGGAGCUUUACGACGCCGCAGCAGAAGGGAAUGCAACACUAUUUCAACAACUGCUCCUACAAGAUCCAUUUCUUCUCAAUAAAAUCUCAUUUUCAUGCACUCAAAAAUCUCCCCUACACAUAGCAACACUGCAAAGCAAUCUCAAUAUCGUAGAGCAAAUCUUGAGCAAUAAUCCUCAGCUAGCUGAGGAAUUAGACUCCCAAAAAUCGUCGCCUCUUCACAUCGCAGCAGCAAAAGGCUACGUAGAAAUCGCCUCAAUGUUGCUAUUGGAAGCCCCAAACAUGUGCUGGUCACGUGACAGCCGCGGCAUGAACCCUAUCCAUGUGGCAGCCAUGAAUGGGCGUGUUGAGGUGCUAGAGAAGCUCGUUGAGGAGGAUGGGUUUGCUGCUAUGGAGCGGUUGGAUCGCGGAGAGACGGUGCUGCAUUUGUGCGUGAAGCAUCGUCAACUUUGGGCGUUGAAGGCUUUGGUGGAGAAGUUGGGGGAGUUUGUGUGUGCAGAGGAUGAUGAUGGAGAGACAGUAUUGCAUUUGGCUGUUAGGUUCAGACAAGUUGAGGUAAGAACCAGGUCUUUUUGCAAGCUUCAUAUUUUUAUAUAGUGAUCAUAGGCAUAAGAGGCAUAGGUUACAUAAAAUAGUAAGACCAAGCCUUUUGCAAACUUUACAUAGCUAAUGAUUUGCAUAAGAGCUAUGUUGCACAGGUGCGAGGAGUGGGUGCGGGAGCGAUACGAUUCGGGUGCGGGGAUACGAAUUUUUAAAAAUUAUAGGGUGCGAUUCGUGAAGGAUACGUUUGUUAUAUUUAUAUAUAUUUUAUUAUAUGUGACCAAUCAAAUUGAAAAAAGAAAAGAACGUUCAUAAAUUAAAUAUUGCAUUGCAAAUAUAAGUCAAAGUAAAAGUUUCAAUAGUGAAGUUCUUCAAAAUUUGCAAAAGAGCCCAAAAAUAAUGAAAAAAAAAAAUUACAUUGCAAAUAUAAGUCAAAGUAAAAAUUUCAAUAAAUUGCAUGCAAAUAUAACUAAAAAAUUGCAAAAGAGCCCAAAAGUAAUUGAAAAAAUUGCAAAAAAAGCCCAAAACGCACCCUAUUCGUGGGUGCGUGCACCCGAUUCGCGAAUCCCUUUUUUUUGGGGAGGGGGGGGGGGAGAUUCGCCACGUAGUGAAUCCCGUGUGAAUCCCACACGAAUCGCACCCACACCCCGCACCAUGCGCGUAUCCGAUACUGCACUGUGCUAUUUUUUGAAGAAUCCGUGCAUCAUAGCAUAAGAGACAUAGGUUAGAUAAAAUGUCUGAAACGCUAAAUGUCUAUAUUCUUCAUGUCCACAAAUAUACAUAUAUAGGGGUAAUAAUCCAANAAAAAAAGGAAAAAAUAAAAAAUAAAAAUCGAAUCGAGCUAAACAUAUUUUGGUUAAAACGGUUUUGUUUAUUUGGUUUAUUUGAAUUUGGUCUAUUUGGCCUAAUUUCAAUCAAACUGUUUGUAAAAAUCGAAAUACUCCCUCCGUCCCCCAAACAUCUUCCCAAGGAGAAUGACAUAGGUUUUAAUAAAAGUUAGUUGUGUAUUAGAUGAGUGGGGAAUGGGUCGCACAAAAAGUAAAGAAUAGUGAGUGUUAUUAUUUGCAAAAGUAGGUUGACAAGAUGUUUUAGGGACGGACCAAAAUGAAAAGAGAAGAAGAUGUUUGAGGAAUGGAGGAAGUAUAUAAUUCAUAUGUAUCAGUUCAUCUCCAAACAAGUUUUUUUGGAUAAGUAAAAUCAAUUAACCACCACGAGGGGUGCAACCCAAAACAAUAACAAAGUUCAACAAAUAAAAAAAAACACAUAAAAAACCUACAAAUCAAAGAAAGUGUUGGAUUGCAAAUCUAAUCACUCAAAUUAUAACUAGAAAUGCAUAUCAAAGUACGUAAAUUUACUCCUAUUGUGUUUAAUUAUUGUGUGGCCUGGGAAAAACAUGCAAAUCAUCGCGGUAUUGGAAAUUAAACAAAAAGGGUGAUUUUGAUAGUUAGGUCAUAUAUAGAAAUAGUGUUUAAACAGUUAUAAUUGUAAAGCUUGUGGUGGACCCAUGUACAAAAAUAGAAAGCAAAGAGAUCGGUGCAAACUUUUUGGGGACACCUCAAAAAAGAAAUCAAUAAAUCUAUGCAAUCACAUUGUGGCCACCCACAAUUUAGUUUAAUAGGGGAAAUUUCAAUUUAUUUAAUUUAUUUUUUAAAAUAAAAAUAGGAUUUAGAUAUUUUAUUGUGUUCUCUACAUUAUAGUUAUUUUUUUGUAAUUUUUUUUGCAAUUUUUAUUUUUCAUUUAUUUUUAAUAAAAAAUAAAAAGUUACAAAAAAAUAACUAUAAUGUAGAGAAUAAAAUAAAAUAACUAAAUCUUAUUUUUAUUUUAAAAACUAAGUUACAUAAAUUAAUUUUUUUUUCUAUUUAAGUGAAUUGUGGGUGACCACAAUGUGGCUGCAUAGCAUCACUCAAAAGAAAUUGGGGUAAACUUUUUGAGGACGGAGGGAGUAUAAUAUAAUUGAUAAAAUAAUUCAGAUUAAUAAAAUAUUUUUAACUCAACCCAACACUCUAAUCAUUCAAUGAUUAAUUAUCACCUCAAAGUUAAGUUAGUUAUUUAAUCAUCAUCUAAUUCAUAUUGCCCAUAAUUAUGACUUAAUUUGGCUUGUCCUAAAUUUUCAGCGUUUUUGCAUGAUUAUACUCCUUUCGUCCCAUUAGUAAUGUCCAUCUACUUUUAGCCACGUAAAUUAAGAACAAUAAUUAGUUAGUAUAUACUGUGACUUGAUAGAAUGUAUUUAAAUAUUAUUUUAAAUGAGUUAGUGGGUUGAGUCCACUGUUAAUAAUAUUAUAAAUGAUUAAUUUUUUAUUGAAAAAGGUAUGAGACAUUAUUAGCUAGUGGAAUGUUCUAGUAAUUGAGAUAUAUAUUACUAAUGAGAUGGAUGAAGUAAAAACAAAAAAUCCUAAUUUUUCUAUCGUAACUCUAUAUAUAUAUAUUUUAAUCACGAUAUAUUUCAAUUUAUAUUCUACCCCACGAUCAGUAUUCAAACACAAAACUAAAUAGGGUUAAGUACCACUUUCCCCCAACUUCGACACCCCUAUCGCCUUUAACACCCUAACUUCAGGGUUGACGCUGUUUACUAUCUCAACGUGUCAAAAUGGAAGCAAAUCGCCCCCCGCGUUUUAGCGGCCGUCCAAAGCGCAACUCUAACGGGGUUAAGCACCAUUAAUUCGCGGGAGGCGAUUUGCUUCUGUUUUGACACGUUGAGAUAAUAAACAGCGCCAACCCUGACUUUAACCAUUAAUACAAUCAAAAACACCUAUCACACACUUCCGUUUACCUAUAUCUGCCCUCAAUGUGUUUUGGAUGGUACCUAACCUAACUACAAGAUUCAACUCGCGCGAUAACUUUUAAACUUAUCAUUAAAUUGACAGGUGAUUCGAUACUUGGUGGAGAGCACCAAAAUUGACAAGAAAUCAAAGAACUCCAAAGGGCAGACGCCAUUAAAACUCCUCAAGCAUAUCAUUUCCCACUCUGCAGGAUCCGACAAUACAACCACAAAAAUCAAAGAAAUUCUCAAAUCCCGAUCCACCAACCAUCCCUCCCAAACCCCACCGGUGGAGUGGCUCACCAAGAAGCGCGACUCCAUAAUGGUGGUGGCGAUCCUCAUCGCCACCAUGACCUUCCAGGCCGCCGUCAGCCCCGCCAGCGGUGUGUGGCAGGACGACACGCUGAUACGAUCACGAUCAAUAGUGGAGCAAUUCGAGUAGCUCAACUCCAGAAAUCAAGGGAGAAGAGAGAUAGAUUUGAUAAACAUCAACUCAAAUAUUCAUUCCAUAAGUAAUAACAUAGAGAUUACAAUAUUUAUAGCAUUGAUAAUGAUAACCUAAUGGGCUAUGGGCUAUGCAUAAGUGGGCUAAACUAAAGCUAGGGCUUCGUGUAUCAUUCCCCACUCCUUCACAAUCACCUUGUCCGCAAGGUGAACUGAUUGGAAAGCUUGAUACAUUUAUGCUCACCACGUGCUCGACAAAAGUUCCAGCAAACUAACUCCAGAACUGAUCGGCUGGAUACGCCUAACGGAUCCGGUGGUGGUUCACCAUCUAGCCGAACCUCUUGACUGGCGAAAACAACCAUAGACCGGUAAAAACUAGAGACGCCAGCGGCUAAAACUUUCGCAAUAGCAUCAAAUAUGGGUCCAACAACAUCGACCAGAAUCUCGUCCUUAGAACCGACGAGUAACCAAAAUCGACUGCCAAGAAUUGGCGGAGGACUCACCGAAGUAGUUAUCGAUGGUGGUGUUGGUGGUAUUGUGAGUGAAGGCGGUACAUCAGGGGGUGUCUGCAGCGGAGGUGGGAGAGCUAGCGGUGGCAGCGGCGGUGGUGGUGUCUGCAGCGGCGGUGGCAGCGGCGGUGGUGGUGUCUGCAGCGGCGGUGGCAGCGGCGGUGGUGGUGUCUGCAGCGGCGGUGGUGGCGAAGAGGAUGGAGACCAACACACAUCUGGAGCAGUAGCCGGAGGGAACUUGUUGGUGGCCGGAAAAUUUGCCUCGAAGGAGGAUUGCAGGCUGUAGAUGGAGAUUCGAAGCUUUUCAAGGGCGGCAAGAAUUUCUGAUCUGGACAUUUUUUUUUUUUUUUGAUAUUCAAAGAGAAAUUCUCUCAAUGAAAGCACCAAUUGAUACGAUCACGAUCAAUAGUGGAGCAAUUCGAGUAGCUCAACUCCAGAAAUCAAGGGAGAAGAGAGAUAGAUUUGAUAAACAUCAACUCAAAUAUUCAUUCCAUAAGUAAUAACAUAGAGAUUACAAUAUUUAUAGCAUUGAUAAUGAUAACCUAAUGGGCUAUGGGCUAUGCAUAAGUGGGCUAAACUAAAGCUAGGGCUUCGUGUAUCACACGCCGCAGCACAGGGCCGGGGAGGCCGUGAUGGCCUACAACAACCCUAAGAUUUACAAGAACUUCAUACGCUCCAACACGGUGGCGUUCGUGACGUCGCUCAGCACGAUAUUGCUAUUGAUCAGCGGUUUGCCAUUCAAGUACAGAUUCUUCAUGUGGGCUCUCAUGGCGAUAAUGUGGGUGUCGGUGACGGCCCUCGGCGUCACGUAUGGCUCUUCGAUCACGGUGGUGACUCCCAGAUUUGCUAGGCAGUCGCUCAGCCAGGUCAUCACGACUGGGAUCAGUGUUUGGAGCGGCGUGAUGGUGGUUUUGCUCGUCGGGAAUAUUCUCCGGCUGCUGCUCCGGUGGCUGAGGCACGGCGGAGUGGGAUUGUGGGCGUCGGAGACAUGUUUGGUGAAAUCUGUUCGAGUUUAGGAAUGAGACAGUUAAAAUAAUUGUUCUUUUCUUUGUGUUGUAUAUAUCAGAAUCUAUAUAAUAUACUCCCUCCGUACAUGAGUAAUGUUCCCCAUUUUUUUCGAUGCGGGUUUUAAGAAAAGUUAGAUGGGUGUGUUGUGAGUGGAGUUUGGAUCCCACAUUAAGUGCUCGUUUUGUUCAAUUAGAGGAAUAGAAAGAAAAUGAAGUCAAAUAAAGGAGUGAAAUAGUAACAAUAACUAUUAAUUUUAUUGAGUGUUUGAUUUAAUAAUGGAAAUAAAUCAUUAGUAAGGGAUUCUCUUUCUUUUGUUUCCUUCUAUUUUGACGGUAAUAAAUUGGGUGAUUGAGUUACCCUCAAGUAAGGGUAAUGGUUAACUCAUUUUCCAAACCAAACAACAAGUAAUAGAUUCAAUUAAUUGAAUCCAUUUCCAACCUCUAAAAACACUCAAUCAAACGUGGGCUAAAUAUGUUACUUAUAGAGUAGUGUUUAAAAAUAUGUGGUGAAAAAGUGGAGUUUGGAUCCCUCAUUAAUAAAUUAUAUGUUGUGAGUGAAGUUUGGGUUCCACAAUAAAUGUGUUAUUGUGAUAUGUGUGGUGGAAAAGUGAAGUUUUGUGACAUCUCUUAAUUUUUUUUAAGAUAAUUCCUCUUUGGAGUGACAAUGAGAAUCAAAUUUUAGGGAUAAUAUGUGUUUGUCUAGCGGUAGAGUGAUUAAUGUUUUAAGUCAAAGGUUUUGGGUUCCACUCUAAUGUGGCACAGUCUUUAAAUUUAUUUAUUUAAUUAUUAAUUUACAAAAAAAUUAAGGGAUAAUAUUAUCACUUCUUGAAGUGAAAUGAAUAAUAUAUAUUAUCACUUCUAGAAAUUCUCUUUUGUAGAAAAUGAGGAAAAAGAGUGGAGUACUCUUUUUUAUCCCUAAUUUACUUACGAUGAAAUUUAUAAUAAAUAAAAAGACAAAAUCUUAAAUAAAGUUUAUACUAAAACUCAAUCCUAUAUAAUUAUGCUUCCUAUUCCCAUUAAUUCAAGGUCAUGUAUAAGAAACUUUUGAUAAAUUAAUUAUGCUUCCUAUUCCCAUUAAUUAUGCACACAUGUAUAAGGAACUUGUACAUAAUCAAAUGGGUUGAUCAUCAAAUAAAUCACUAUAUUUAUUAUAUAAAUUACAUAAAUAAAUAAAUAAAUAUAAAAGUUGCAACACGAUGAACUCAAACCAAGGACUUUACCUACCGCUAGGCUAACAUACGCACACAUAAAAUCAUUAUUUUUUUUUUAUGAACUUACAAUAUUAAAUAAAGAAAAACAGGCCGCGCCACAAGGAACUCGUACCCAAUACCUUUGGCCUUGAACAUAUAACCCGUUACCGCUUGGCCAACACACGCACACUAAAAUCAUUAUUAUUGACAGGUCUUAGAGGUGUCAAACCGAUUAGGUGCGAUAGACCAUCUGGGCCUUGAACUAUCACUUUGCCCAAUGGGCAUGGGUUGGACCGGAACAAUAAUGACUUCAUGCAUGCCUUUCAAUUUGUAGCAAUUUCGACACACUCAAUUUUUCUGAGAAUUAGUAUUUGCAUCCCGUGCAAUGUACGAGAAAAUAUUUUUAAUUUUUAUAUUUAUAUAAAAUUAAUACUAAUUCAAUUAUUAUAUUUAUAAAUAUAAUUAAAAAUAAAUUUUAAUUGACUAUAUUUGAAUUGAAUAUUGAAAAAAUAAAAAAGAAUUCACAAUUAUAAAAUUUGAUAUUAUGUAAAACAAAAACAAAAAAAUAAGUUAAAAAAUAAAAAAUAAAAUACUACUAAUUAAAAAGAAUUAAAAAUAUAUUUAUUCAAAAAAGAUGAGAGAGGAGAGAGAAAUUUAUAAAACUUAAUAUUUAAACAAAUUUAAUUUUUACAUUUUAAAUCAAAUAUUUUCAUAAAAUAUAUCAUAUUAAAGCUCUUAUCGUGAUCUUUAAUUUGAUAUGCAUAUUAAAUAUUUUAUAAUUAAUCGAAUUUCACAAUUUUGGAAAGAAAUGUAACAACAAAUAAGAAGCUAAAUAAAAUGAAAAUAAAAAGGAAAAUAUAUAGCUAGUUUAAACAUAAAUCUUCAAUUUUAUUAUAACUACAAAAUUAUCACUCAAUUUUGAAAUUAAUUUGAAAUUGAUUUCAAAUUGGAAACUCCCCUUUUUAAUAUAGUAUAGAUUUAUCCCUAUAUAUCAAAGUCAUUUCAACGUUGAAAAAAUUGGAAUGUCGAAAUUGUUACUAAUUUUAAAGGUGACAUAUAAUUGCAAAAUGGACCAAAUGUGCAGUGAUAAUAUAUUUGACAACUAACCCUAAUUAAAUUUAGAGUAGUUAAUUUAGUUAAAUACUCCCUCCGUCCCACGAGUCUUGACACGUUUUCCUUUUUGGGCCGUCCCACGAAUCUUGACACGUUUCCUUUUUUGGCAAUAAUUAUUACUUUCUCUCUCCUACUUUAUCACCUUUAUUAUAUUCUCUCUCCUACUUUAUCACUUUUAUUACCUUCUCUCUCCUACUUUAUCAAUUUUAUACUUUAUUAAUUACACACUUAAAACACUAAUCUACAACUCCUUAAUUCCCGUGCCGAACCCAAACGUGUCAAGACUCGCGGGACGGAGGGAGUAUUGAAUUGAUAAAAAGAAAAUGGCGAAAAAGUAUAAAACAUGUUCGAUUAUGUAAGAAUUUGUCUGCCAAGUACACAUGUGGUUAAUUGAGACAUUUGACGUAAUUUCUACGUAUUCUUAAUUAUGAAAGUGGCCUGAUAGUUUAAUUUAACUUUCCACACCCUUUUAAAAACCACCACACCGUUGUAUUUUCUUUUCCAUUUUCUUUAAUUGAUAGAGAAUAUUUUUUUUUUUGAUGGAGAUAGAGAAGAAUUUUUAUUUGUUCUAGAUCUCAUGUUCAUGGCCGCCAGGCCUAGCUAGACAAUUCUGUUACGUAACUAGCUACUGUAUAUUUGAAUACAUUUUUUUUUAAACCCUAAUUGCCAUUCAGCAUAUUAUGAUUUUAAUCAUAUCCUCCCUCCGUCUAGCUGAUGUGUGCAUUUUAGUUACCUAGUUUAGUGUGUGUUUGCUAUAAUUUUAUGUGAUUUUACAUGGUUUGCAAUAUUUUGGAUGUAGGAAUUGAGCAAAAUGUGGAGAUGAUCUUGUGGAUGGAAGAAAUCGAAGGAAGUCUAGUUUUGCACGGACUUUGACGAAUUUAGUGGAAUUGAAGAUGUUUUGGAGAUUAAAACACGAAUAUGACUAUACAAAAUUUAUCAUUUUAUAUAGCUUAUGAUUCUGUGAAAUUUCAUGCUUGGACUGAGGUAUCGCCAAACGACUCUUUCUCCACUCACAAUAUAAUUAAUUAUCAUUAUUAACAUUAUAUUCUUCACUCACAAUACACUUAACUAUUUUUAUUAAAAUCCUUGUCGUCCUGAUCUUCUAGGACUAUUUGUUGUAGACGGAAAGAAUACCUCUUUCAUUUAUAUAUACAAUAUAAUUUCUUAUGAUAUACUCCCUCCGUCCCACGAGUCUUGACACGUUUUCCUUUUUGGGCCGUCCCACGAAUCUUGACACGUUUCCUUUUUUGGCAAUAAUUAUUACUUUCUCUCUCCUACUUUAUCACCUUUAUUAUAUUCUCUCUCCUACUUUAUCACUUUUAUUACCUUCUCUCUCCUACUUUAUCAAUUUUAUACUUUAUUAAUUACACACUUAAAACACUAAUCUACAACUCCUUAAUUCCCGUGCCGAACCCAAACGUGUCAAGACUCGCGGGACGGAGGGAGUAGUAUAUGAAUACUAUUUAUAAUAAGAUUUACUUUUAGCAUAUCUAGAUUCAAUGAAUAUGAUGUGAUGUUUGAGAAUUACAAUAGCACAUUAGAACUUUUCUUGGUCAAUUCUAAGUUCCUAAGAGAUGGUCUUUGUUUAAUAACAUUAAUUAAACAUUUCCAUGCUUGGCGGCUUUCUUGAGAGAGAGACUGAUAGAGAUUGUGUUAUAUAUAUAUAUAUAUAUAUAUAUAUAUAUAUAUACUAUAUAACAAGAGAAUCAAUAUAUGUAGGUAGUUAGGGAAGAAUGGUGAAAGAAGCAGCAGAAAAGAAACUCUACGAUGCUGCAUCAAAAGGGGAUUUAGAAACACUUAAACAACUGCUUCAAUUACAGAUCCAUAUCUUGCUCAUGAAGCCCCAUUUACCUUUUCAAGAAACCUACUACACAUAGCAAUCACGCAUGGACAAGUACGCAUCGUUGAAGAGUUGUUGAUGAUGAAUCCGCGGCUAGCUCGGAUCUUAGACUCCCAAAAACUGUCGCCUCUUCACAUCGCAGUAGAAGAAGGGAAGCUCGAGAUUGCCAAGAGAUUGUUAUCAGUAGCCCCAGAGACGUGCUGGUGGCGAGACGGCCAUGAUAUGAACCCGGUUCAUGUUGCAGCCAUGGAUGGGAAUGUCGAGAUCUUGGAGGAGCUGCUUCGACUCGAUUUGUAUCCUGCUAUGGAGAGAGUGCGUCGUGGGCAAACUGUGCUGCAUCUGUGUGUGAAGCAUCGUCAGCUUAGAGCAUUGAAUGUUUUGGUGGAGAAGUUGGGUGAGCUUGUUUGUGCAAAGGAUGAUGAUGGUGAGACAAUACUGCAUUUGGCUGUGAGGUGCAAUCAACUUGAGGUAACCACCAACCCUUUUUUGUUUGUUGUCUUAAUUUGUCAUUUCAAUUUCACCAUAUCUAUAUAUAAUAUAAAACACCAGCUUUCUUCCCGCCAAUUUAAUGGCAUUUUUGCAAUUAUAAUGUCAAUUAAGGAUAAAAGUUUAGAAAUUAAAAGAGAGUGGGGUGAGAGGAGAGAGAAAAGUAGAAAUCUGAGAUAAGUUACGCUUCAUCUACUAUCACUUUUUCCCACAUUUUCUCUCUCCUCAUUUUCUUAUACAUUCACCCAUUUUUUCUCAAUUCCAAAUUUUUAUCUCUUCUAACCUAUUUUUCAUAUUUAGAUGAUUUUCUAAAAAUCUUUAAAUUCAAUUUAUGAAAAUAUAUUCGACAUGUAUCUUAAAUUAAAUAUCAUGAUAAGAUUUUUAAUUUGAUAUAAAAAUCAUUAAAUGUGAAUUUGAAAUAAAUAAGUAUAAUUUAAAAUUUUAAAGUGAUUAUAUUUCUCUCUCCUCUUUCUUUUUCUAUAUUCUUUCAUUUUUGUCCUCUCUCUCCUUAUUCACUCCACGUUAUAUAUUAAUCUCUCUCCACAAAAUUUAUCAUGUUCUCUUCUCUUUUGAUAAAAAGAACAAAUAAAACAUCAAAUUUAUUCGUUGGAUUACUUUAUCAAACAUAACAUAAAAAUAUGUAAAUAAAAACUUUUAAUUAAAAAAUAUGAUGCACUAUUAUCAACAAACGUUGAGACGAUUUUAUAAAAAUAUUUAUUAAUUUUAAUUAUAUAGAAAAUAAUAAUCAAAUAUCAAAGAACUAUUUCAAAUUUGAGAUAGAGUAGAUAAUAUUUUGAACUAUAUAAAUUUUAAAGUUUUAAAAAAAAUAUCGAAAUUUGUUAAGUUUGUGUUAUGUAUAAUCUUUAAUAUACAAAUUUUGUGUUAUAUUCUCCUUUCUUUGAAUUUAUUUGAACCAUUUUAUUUUACUCUCUUUCUUUCUUCAGAUAUUUAUAAUAUUAGAAAAAUAGAAAAAUAUCAUUAUAAUAUUUUUUUUCUAAGAUUUGACAUAAAGUAUAUACAUCUUUAUAUAAUACUAUGAAAGAUGAGUUAUUUUAUUUUGUUUUCGUUUGAUGGUGAAAAAAUAAUUAAAUGUCUUUUUUUUUCUUGCAAAAAAACUUACAUGAUUGUUUGAUUAUAAUUAUUUUAAUUUAAUGCAAUCAAGGAGAAGGAAAUUUCAAUAUGAAUUUGUAAAAAAAAUAGUUAUUUAUCUUAAAUUUAGAAUUUAAAAUGUAAUAUAGAUUUAUUUAAUAAUAUGUACAAAUUAUUUAUUUGUUUGUAUAAACAUAUUUGUUGUUAUAUUUUGUUUUUAUAUUAUUCGUAUUUUUUCUAUUUUUGUAAUUAUUUUUGGGCUAUUUAAAUAUGAACUUUUAAUAAUAAUGCAGUUCGUACUUUUAAGAGCCCAAAAUUAUUAUAUGACGUCUAUUAAUAUUAUUAUUGAUAGUUUUAGUGUUAUUUGCUCAAAAUGAGAUUCACUUAAUGCUUUAUAAUCAGUAAAUUUAAUUAUUAUACAAUACUCAUCAAAUUUAAUACUUAUACUCCUACUCAUUAAGUUGAUAAAUUAUCAAAUACUAAUAUUUAAAUUAACAUAUUUUUUUUGUUAUUAAUUAAUUUAACUCAUAAAUAAUACUCCCUUCGUCCCACUCCAAUAGGCUCACUUCUUUUGGACACGGAGAUUAAGAAACUUACUUUUCAGGAGUAAGUGGCGUGGUUUACACCAAUUAAGUACAUUUUCUUUACUGAAAAUGAAAAACGAGCCUAUUGGAGUGAGACGUCUCAAAAAGAAAAACAAACCUACUAGAGUGGGACGGAGGGAGUAAUAUAUUUAUAUAAAUUAAAAUUUUAAAAAUAAAUAAAUAUAUCGUAGCCCGUGCAUCGCACGGGAGGAUGUACUAGUUUUAUCUAUAAUUCACGACUUAAAUGUUUCUUAGUCUUGAAAUGAUCAUAUUUUUUACCAUCAAUUCACAGUUAAUUACUAAGAAUCUUCUUUCAUGAAUUAAGGCUAAUUUUGGCAACUUAAGGUCAAAUAAGGGCAAAAUAACAUAUUAAUUAAGUCAAAACUUGCUUCUUUCUUUAUUUGUGGCUAUAUUUAUCUUUACAAUAUAAAAAUGACUAAUGCACGCAUACUUUUCAUGGUACUACUUUUCAUUGACUUAGAUUAUUAUUUUGGCUGAUACAUUGUAUUUUAGAUUUCUGUUGAGUAUUUUUUUUGGAUAAAAUUAUUGGAUAGAUCGAGAUGUGUUAAAUUACAAAUGUGCUUUUCUUUCUUCAAAUUUAUGGGGGCUACAAACUACAGUGAUAAAAUUAUAUAAAAUACUCAUUUAAUUUAGUAUUUUAUAGAAUCUUAAUUUAAGAGUUAUAGGGAUAAAGUAGUAAUUUUAUUAUUAUAUAUUUUUUUAUUCAAAUACUAUAUAUAAAGAGUAAAACGAAGAUUGGAGAAUAUGAAUAGAACUACCCAAUUUCUAUUGGGUCCGGUCCAGCCUUGUUUUCACCUUUGGCCCAAUGGGCUCAGCCCGCAACUUUAACAAUUAGCCAUUACAAGAAAAUCGGGCUAUAGAGAAAUCUCAAAAAUUUGUGGUUAAAAAGAAAUUGAAAUAAUGAAUUUAAAAUUUAAUUUAAUUUGGGACUAUAGAAUAUAGAGUAUAAUAGUAAAUUUCUAAUUAAUUAUUAUUAGUAUUUUGAGAAAAGGGGUUAUAAGGAGUAAAAAUGGGGGCUAUGAAUAGAAUCGCCCAUAAAAGAACACAAGUAAUAGUUUAUACGCAAAAAUAAUGCAUUUAUUAGUUAUUGUUUAAUGUCUAAGGUUAAAAGUCUCAUUUUCGAGUAGACCUAUAAAAUUAUUUGUUCAAUGAAAAAAAAAAUUACAGUUGUUAAUCGUAUGAAAAAUCACAGAUGGUAAGAUACUUGGUGCAAAGAACUAAACUAGACAAGGAGAUGACGAAUUCGACGGGGAAAACAGCGUUGGAUAUCUUGAAGGAGAGCCCUCGAGACCCAAUCAUCUAUCCAGAAAUCAGAAAGAUCUUGAAUAGUUUAUCAGAUCGUUCGAAAUUGCUGGGAAUCCUCCCCAAGAUGACCGACAUCACAAUGGUGGUGGUCGUCCUCAUCGCCACCAUGGCGUUCCAAUCCAUCCUCCAACCCCCCGGCGGCGUGUGGCAAGACGACACGUCAACGCACAAGGCCGGCGAAGCUGUGAUGGCAUACACACAUCCCAAGAUGUAUAAGCACUUCGUCAAUGCCAACACCACAGCCUUCGUUUCAUCUCUCAUCACAAUCAUGCUCAUCACCACCGGGCUGCCGCUGGAGCACUUCUUUUUCCUGGCGGUGGCCACGACGGCGAUGUGGCUGUCGCUGACGUCGCUCGCGGUGGGCUAUGGGGCUUCAGUGAUCAUGACCACUCCUAAUGAAGAGCAAACGCUAGGGUAUAUUGUGCCGGCGGUGGUGUGUGUGUUCCUCAGCUUCAUUUUGUUGCUAAUUCUCUACCACUCUAUCAACGGCUUGCAAUCCUCGUGGAAGAGAAAAUCUCGUUAUGAGUACAAACGUAUGCAACAUCUUAUUGGAGUGUAGAUGCAGAUGAACUAGUAAACCCACUCGUGCGAUGAGGGGUGGAGUUAGAUUUUGGAUUUAGGGGGUCCAAUUUUUUUAAUAAAAAUAAUAAUUAAAUAAAAAUAAACAAUUAAAUAAGAUAAAUAAUACUAAUCAUUAAUACAAUCAUAAUGUCAUUUUAAUUACAUAACAAGUCAAAAAUAUAAAAUAAACAAUUUAUUUCAAAAAUCACAACGUUUCUCUCCUAUUUUUCAUGUUCUGAAACCUCGCAUAAUAACUUCAUUAGUAACAUGACACAUCUUUUUCGAUGUAAGGUACUCCAUACAAUUACUAAGCAAUCAUUCAAAAGAUUGUCUUCCAUACAAUUGUGAAGAACACUCUUGAUGAUCUUCGGCUCUUUUAACUGUAGCAGGGACAACUGGAAAAGUCAGUGAUAACUUAACUAACAAAUACAUCAAUGGAAAAAUUGUCAUGUUUCCUUUGUAGAAACCAUCUUCUCGGAAAGAUCUCCAAUCCCGGAUAGUUUUAAGAAUUUUUCAUCCAGGCGCACAUCAACAAUAAUGUUCUCAAAGCUAUAAAAUCAAUUAUGUAUUGAUUUCAUCAAAAUAUUGAUUCAAAUCCAAAAAAUGGGUCUCUAUGAAAUUACUAAAAUACCCCUACGAAAAUUACCAAAUUUCAGGGGUCUCCCUGCAUGCGAUGCACGACCAAUAUUAAAAUCAAGUGUUAUUUUUCGUACAGAAAUAUAAAUAUUAAAUAUAAUUUAUAAAUCAAAUCAUCAAUAAAUUCAACAAAAAGAAAAAUAAAUACACAAUAUUAUAAAUAUAAUUUUAGAUAUUAGUUGAAUUAUUUAAAUGAUUAAUUUUUAAUUAAAAUUUGCAACCCACAUUCCUAGUCAAUAAUUACAAAAACACGUACAAACACUUGUGUCGGUUAAGAAUAUAUAACACUAAUGUCUUCUUGGUGUAUAGCCAGGGCGGAGCUAGGGGGGGGGUAGGGGGAGUCACUGGGCCCCCCCUGGGAUUUUAAAAAAUAGUAGGUAUAUUUUCAUAAUUUUAAUAUUAAAAAAAAUAUGAUUUUAUCUUCUUACAGUUUUUGUGAGGUCUAAAUGACGUUGUUUCGUACAAUUUAAUUAAAAAAUUCUUUAAAUAAGUAAGGGAUGUAUCCUGUAUUUGCACCAUAAUUUUCAAUAUUUAGUAAUUUUAUUGCAAAUUAUUUUCGUAACAUGAAUAUUACGUGGAUAAUUAAUCCACAAAAAUUCCAAGUCAACAAUCCGACGAUCAGAAAAAAUUGUGAGGGACAAAAUGGCAAAAAUUGAAAAGAUGGUAAUUUAAUUCGUCACAUUUUAAAAGUCACAUUAAAAUUGUUAAUUCGGCAUGAUUUUAUUUGCCAAAAUCCCAAGUUUUAUCCAUCUUGAUUUUUUGAAGUUAUUUUGUAUGAACGAAAUGUAUUUUUGUAAUUUAAAAGAUAUUUAUAAUUGUGUUAAUGAUUAUUAUUUAGUUUUAAUUUAUUUAUUAUUUUUAAAAUUUAAUUUAUUUUUUAAAAUUAAUUAUUAUUUUUAUUUAAAAAAAUUGAACCCCCUGGAACGAAAGUCUGGCUCUGCCCCUGUGUAUAGCUAGUGAGAAUCAAAUUGUUGGCAUCAACAAAAAAAGUGAUGCAUUGUGGCAAUGCAUCUUAGAUUUGUAUCAACAAGUGCGAGCUACCAAUUCACGAUUGGGCGAAGAAAGAUCAGAGACAUGAUAAUGUACACUCAUUUUUCUAUGAUUUUUAAUGUUUUUAGGAUAUCUUUGGUGAAAUUUACAUAACUAUUGAAGCCGAAUUAGAAAACAUGAUCUGAAUGAGAGUUGUUGAUGAUCUCAAUAUGAGUUUGUGGAAGCAAACAGAAUGUGAAUCGAUGAUCAAACAAGAGAGAUAUGACCAAAACAAGAAAGUCGCGCGCAAAAGUGAAUUGUGUCGCUGAGAACAAGAGAAAUUUUGCAUUUUCCUCGGCGACCUGCUGGAUCGGUCGCUGAGGUGUCCACUUUUCAUUUAGUAAUACUUCUUAAGGUAGCAAUUUUCACCACUAUUUAGUUGAAAAUCGAAUUUGUGUUAAAAAUAAUACUACGAUCAAUAAGUCAAUGUGUAAAAUUUGUCCAAAGUGUAUUUAUGGGCAAUAACCCUAUCAAUAACAUGAACAACCCUGUUUAAAAAAAACAACAAGACCUUCAACUGAAAAUAACAACACUGACAGAUCAAGAAGAAAUCAUUUGAUGGCCUUGGAAAUAGCUAAGCUAAUAUCCAAGCUACCAAGACGUAUGGCAAUCCUCCAACGAUUAGACAUCGGCACCGGUUGAAGGAUUGGUUCUAGGAUGCUCUGGUAGUUGUGGUAUGAUCUUCAGCGAUGAGUAGAAUUUCCUUCCAUUAUACCUAUCAGCACCAUCACCACCAUCACCACCAUUGUCUGAUCGUGUAUUCUUCUGCGGAGGUCGAGUGUUAAUUUGUCUGACAUUUUGUCAGGAUAUCCCAAUCUGAUUCAUCGGUCAGGAUUUUUUCUAUUUCUGGAUGACUCUCUUGCUCAUGGAUCUCCUUGAAGAUUUGCAGUGGUGUUUUGCCCAUCGAGUUCUUUGAUUCCGUCCCUAUUAUUUUGUUCUCCGCCAAGCAUCGUAUGAUCUGAGAUUUUCUUGGGAGAUGCAUAAUAUUAUAAGUAAAUUUUCUACAUUAACAAAAUAGAAACAAUAUACUCGGGUGGCCAUUUUGAGGAAGGAAACACAAAAUUUGGCAACUAAUUAAAAAAAUACAAAAUUUGGCCAUUUUUUAUGUUUUAGGACUAUUUUGCCCUUAAUUAGGGCAGACCGGAUUCAGGUUUGCGCGGGUUAGGCACUAUUGGUGCCAUAUGUGCCAACUGAAAAAAAAAUCUAAGUAAAUUGGUACACUUAGCACUAUUAGUGCCAAUAAGGCCAUGCACGAAUGGUACUAGUGACCAUAUUAGUGUCAUUAGUGCCAUUUAGUUAUGGUGAUACAUUGUCUUGUCUUAUAUAGAUGAGUNAAUGGGGUCUUUUAUGAUAAUAAGGAAAAGAUGGAGGGUUUGGUGUGAAAACACCAAACCCUAUACCUGCUUUUAAUUCUCCCCAAUUUCCUCCAGCCGCCUCCCCCUUAAUUCCCGAUACUCCAUUCUGCCCAGCGUCAAGAGCCCCGAGUUGAUAUCCGACCCGAGAUCCGGCUGCGCCAGCACCCGAUCCGCGAUCAUCUCCACCGUCACGUUCAUCCUCGCCGUGCGCCGCGCCCGCGCCCUCCCCGCGGGGCCGCGCGCCUUGCCGACCGCCGCGCCGCGGUAGAACAGCGCCGACGUCGUCUCCGGGUACCGGAAUGACGCGAAGUUGGGGUUCUUCACCGACACGUCGGCGGUCAGCGACAUGUUGCUGCCUGGCCGUGGCGUGGCGAUGCCGUUGAUCAGAUCCGCGCCGCAGCAGCUGCAGCAGCGGAGGAGUUGCCGCUGCUGUUUGACGGUGAAUUUGAUAUCUCGGAGAGUUCGAUGAAGAGCUGCCUGAGCGGUUUGGCUGACCUCUGCCGGUGGUGGUCGGCUGAAAGCCGUCUUCCGGCCGUGGCGUAUGGCAGUGGACGGUGGCAAUCCCGGCCCCGAUGGCUCCCGAUGAUGAAGGGUCCGGGUUGGUUGCCGGCUGUAGCCGGGCGGCCUCCCAUCUCACUCUUGAGAAUGCCGACUCGGCUGAGGGAACUUCCUUGAGAAUGUCCCGACGAAGUCUGUCAUAUCUCCUAUCAAAUCCGGAGAGGAACUGAAAUAAUCGGUGAUUUCCGAUCAGUUUUCUGUGCUUAUUGAUCCCUUCUUCACACCAGUCGAGUGGAUUUGGGUAAGUUCGAUCCAUUCUGUGGAUUUGUUGAAUUGAUUCAUUUGAAUCUGUUUGGUUUAUGGCUUCAAUCUCUCCUGGCAUUUUUUUUUCAGGAAAUGAAGAACAGAGGUUUUGGUUUGGUGUAUUGGUUAGGAAUGGUUUGGUGUAUUGGCUAGGAAUGGUUUUGGUUUUGGAUUAUGAACGAUGAUGAUUCGUUUCUGAGUUCCUAUGGUUGAACCUGCUGAACCUGCUCUGAGACCAUGUUAAAA
RNAcentral lists this long non-coding RNA (22627 nucleotides) under Salvia miltiorrhiza (redroot sage). RNAcentral describes it as "long non-coding RNA (SMIL_LNC005649)". The record is from RNAcentral. Lineage: Eukaryota; Viridiplantae; Streptophyta; Magnoliopsida; Lamiales; Lamiaceae.